CCUACGGGUGGCAGCAGUGGGGAAUAUUGCACAAUGGGGGAAACCCUGAUGCAGCAACGCCGCGUGAGUGAAGAAGUAUUUCGGUAUGUAAAGCUCUAUCAGCAGGGAAGAAGAUGACGGUACCUGAUUAAGAAGCCCCGGCUAACUACGUGCCAACAGCCGCGGUAAUACGUAGGGGGCAAGCGUUAUCCGGAUUUGCUGGGUGUAAAGGGAGCGCAGACGGCAGUGCAAGUCUGGAGUGAAAGCCCGGGGCCCAACCCCGGAGCUGCGCUGGAAACUGUGCGGCUAGAGUACUGGAGGGGCAGGCGGAAUUCGCAGUGUAGCGGUGAAAUGCGUAGAUAUUAGGAGGAACACCAGUGGCGAAGGCAGCCUGCUGGCUAGAAACUGACGUUGAGGCUCGAAAGCGUGGGUAGCAAACAGGAUUAGAUACCCGUGUAGUC
RNAcentral lists this ribosomal RNA (440 nucleotides) under uncultured bacterium. Its description in RNAcentral is "partial 16S ribosomal RNA". It matches the Rfam family "Bacterial small subunit ribosomal RNA", at positions 338 to 795 of the family's 1533-position model. The record is from RNAcentral.